This 1801-nucleotide long non-coding RNA is filed under the name Phascolarctos cinereus (koala). Its description in RNAcentral is "lncRNA (ENSPCIG00000036097.1)". Lineage: Eukaryota; Metazoa; Chordata; Mammalia; Diprotodontia; Phascolarctidae. The record is from RNAcentral.
AGGAUGUACAUGGGAGCCUGACUUACAGGUCUUCGGUCUUUCCCUAUUUUAGGUCUUUUAAAGGAUUUUUUUUUUCAAAUCUUUGUCUAUCUGUUCCGUUUGUAUGUGGUGUGAAUGCAUGUUGGGGAAGACAUGAAGAGACUAGAAAAAUAUACAAUCCCUACUCAGAGCAGAAAAAAAUGAAUUUUCUCCACAGAGAACAAAGAAAGUAGUUUCCUUAGCGAGCCCUAAUACGGGGCUUGGAACACAGGAGCAUUCACUAAGCUCCGGAUAACCUGAGUCUUGAAUUUAUUAUUAUUGUUGUUAUUAUUAUUAUUAUUAUUAUUAUUAUUAUUAUUAUUGUGUUAGUCUGUGGGAAAGGGCAAGGGGAACCUGUCUUGUUUGACUAGAAAUGAGCUCUUCCUCUCUGUUUCGAUCUGUCCCUCACUUUCUCUUACAUCUAUUUCUUCCUUAUGGGCAUUUUCUUUAUUUCUCCCGCUUGUCUUUCCUCUUUUUUCUGGACUUUUUUUUUCUUUUAUGCUCUCUCCUCCCUUCUUUCAUUUUCCUUAUUAUUCACUCUUUGUCUCUACAUCUCUUCAUUUUUUCACUUUGUCCAUCCCUGUCUCUGUCUCUCUGUCAGUCUCCCUCUUUUUCCAUCUUACUCCUUCCCUCCUCAUAUCUCCCCAUAUCCUUUGUUUCUCUGGUUUUUUUUCCAUUCAAAGUCAUUUUUCUUUCUCCUGUUUUUGAAGUUAUACCCUAGACAUUUUCUUGGUGUCUUCAGUGACAACACAGGGUCCCAAACAAGUUUCUCCCGCAGUCAUCACUCUCACUCUCCCAGAGUCAUCGAAGUCCAGUGGCAAGACAAAUGAGGCCUGGAGAUGACCAGAACUUAGUGGAUGAACUUGAGGUCUUCCGUGUCUAACCAAGCUCUAAGAAUUCCAGAGGGCCUGCAUCAGCUGCCUUCGUGAUCAUUAGAACAAACUGUUCUCAUCUGCCCAUUCUUCUGGGGAAAGUCUUCCCACGCUUGGGGUAGACAUUCCCCUAACUCACUGAUGGGUUUGAGGCCCAUAGGUUCCCCUUAAUUUGGUUUAGCCCAUCUGCCAAGAUGGUUUUACUGGGGUUUGGUUGCUGUGCAUGCUAGAGCUUCUUGGAGCCACAGGUGAGAGUCGGGUGACAGGUGGACACCAAAGGUGGUUGAGUGUUCAUCACAACGUUAGCAUUAUCAUUGAGCAGAGAAAUCAUUGUGGAGAGGCAGGCCACCUUCCUCACCACCCCCAGCAACAACUGGGGGUUGCAAUUGCCAGCAAUAGGCAGAUGAACCCAGGAGAUCUGGGAGGGGCAAUCCCCCCCAGUCAGCAGUCCUGCUGCCAGUCCAGCCUUCAGCCAUCAUUCUGGGAAGCACUGCCUGUGGAAACAUAGCCUGGCAAUUGCUUCUGCAGGUGCUGCAGCUGCGCUAUUGAUAACCCAGAAAAGGAUGUUCUCACCACCAAAGUCUUUGGCACUGUCACAUGGUUCGACAUCAGCAAUUGGUAUCAUUUGGUAAGUUUGAAAUGACCUUAAAGAAGAGGCAUUCCUAUAUCCUUUGCUACUGUAAUCUAAGGACCAUGGAACCUUUCUACUGGAUUUGCAGCUGAAACCUUCCAUAGGUACUGGCUGAAGAGGUUGAUAAAUCAUUUUUUUCCCUUUCUGAGACUUAUUUAUAUCAGUUAUGUGUUAUUUCUCCCAUUGGAAUGGGAAUUCUUGGUAGCAGGUAUUAUAAAUUCCAUUUAUAUCACAGUACUCUGCGUGUAGUAUGCACUUAAUAAAUGGGUUUUUUUUUUCA